AAAAAAAAACAGAGGCGCUUCACGUUUGCCUCGCUGCACUUCAUUCCAGUCUCCUCUUACUAGUCUUGUGCGCUUACCUUCUUUUUCUCGACUUAUCUCUCACUCUCUUUGCCUGUUUGUCCGUUCUCCUGCUACGCCGUGUGUUUUGACUUCGCUGAGUAUGCUGCAACAGGAGGCGUUUCGAAUACACAGGAAGUCUAGCGACGCCACGGCUAGCGUCGGCACGGGAUACCAGGACGAUGCCGUCGCCACCACCACCUUGCCGUGCACUUCGACUUCUCACUGUGUGCCACCAUCGGCUUUGCCAGCUCCUAAUGGAUGCUCUUCGACGGCGGCGGUGGGGGCCGGCGAAGUCGCGGCGGUUUCAUCAAUAUUACCACCACCAACAUCGUCUUCAGCUGACGGCGAGCAGAUGCUGAGUCUCCACACAGUAGUGCAGGAGACGCAUGCCGGGACGAAAUCACAGCAGCAGAUCUUGGCCGAGCGCGCGCGCGCCUCGUUUCGCCAUGACCGCCGCCUCCAACGAGGUCAGAGAGAUCCCAGACAGACCGACGCACUCUCAUCGUCAACGCCUCACUACCCUCAUCCUUUGAUGGGCUCUCCAGCGUGGGUAGCACUUCCAGAGUCGGUGGUGGCACACAGUGAGGAGACCGCCUCGCCUUCACUGCUGCUUGAUGGCGCCGAUGAGCGUAACUGCGUCUCUGCUCGCCCGACUGCGUGGAUGUGCAGCUGCUCCUCCGUCAUGAACUCCACUCCGCCUCAGCUGCUUCCGCCAUCCGCUGCAUCGACGACGAGCUCCGCAACACUUGGUGGCCGCGCGGGCGGGCUGGCGUAUCAGUCUCUCACCGCGGAGGAUGACGAGGGCGAUGUGGAGUACAAGUGGCGCCUCACCGGCAUCUCGCCGAGCCGCUUCCAGCACCUCGUGACGCAAAUGCAGUUUCGCGUCUCGGAGGGCCAUGGCCAGUGCCUCUACGAGCUCGGUGUCUCCGACGACGGCACCCCUCGCGGGCUGACCCGGCGGGACUUCAACGAGUCCGUGCAGACCAUUAAUCGUAUGGCAGCUCAGCUGCAACUAGAGGCGACGCUGCUGCAAUGCUGUGUCGUCAGAAAGACUGCCGCGACACCGGCCGGAGGCAGCGUUUCCUCCCCAUACGACAAGUUAAAGGUCAGUGCGGCAGAGCGCGCGGAGCGAGAUGGCGAACAACAUGAACCAUGUCACAGCAAGGAGAAUGAGGAGGAGCUGCUGUGUGGAGAGAUUAUGCUAUCGCGGCGUCAGGCAGGCAAUAGCGGCCACGAUUUGAGCGUCGCCUUCUGCGGCGCCGUCGGCUCCGGCAAGUCGACGCUGAUGGCGGUGCUCCUCACGUCUCGCCUCGACGACGGCUGCGGUGGAACGCGGCAGGCCCUGUUCAACCACAAGCACGAGCUCGACACAGGGCGGACAAGCUCGCUGGCGUCGCGGGUUUGGACGGUGACGCAGACACCGGCUGACACGUCAUCAGAGCUGAAGCGGCCCGUCAGUGCAGCGCAGCUGCCGUCGCCCAGGGAUUCGCCCGCUGCGGCCCUGCGCGGCUCCGCUCCCAGCUGGUCCUGCACCUCAUCUCCUGCGGCGCCGCUGCCACCAUCGACGCUGCCUUUCACGGGCGCCUCGCCUCGCUCCAUCACGCUUCUCGACGCUGGUGGCGACAUCACUAAGACGAUGCUGUUUUGCCUCAUGAGCCGCAAGCCGGAUUACGUGUGCGUGUGCGUAGCGGCCGACACUGCCGACGUCUCCGACGUCUCUCUCUACGCGGAGGUGUGCUGCGCCAUGAACACACCGUUUGUCGUGGUGGUCACCAAGAGCGACUUGGUGGAGGAAUUCGAGCUGGAUGGCCUCAUCAUGGAGCUCGCCAUUGCGCUGGAGGUGGUGGGGUGUGAGUCGGAGCAGGUGGACUCGACACUGAUGGCCGCGGCGUACUGCCGGGCGUGGCUACCACGCCACCGCGACGCCGCCGUGGAGGGGGGUGUGGGCACGACGACUCCCAUUUCCACCCCAAACACGACAGCGGUCCCGCCCCGUGCCGAGCGGCUGCGCGUGCCCGUAUUUUGUGUGUCGUCGGUGCAAGGGGGAGAAGGUCUGGAGUUGUUCCGCUAUUGCCUCUCCCACAUACAGAACCCUCCUCCCUCGCCUCUGCUGAGCCCGUCUUCGUGGGCCUCAAAGCCCCCCUUUGAAGUGCUCCUUGACUACGCCUUUGCCGUCGAUGGCGUGGGGCAUGUUGUGCACGGCCGCGUUGCACGCGGCCCAGUCGAGGUGGGGUGCAGCUGCUACAUCGGGCCUGGCAGCGACGGUCGCUUCUAUGCCGUGCUUGUGCGCGGCAUCCACGUUGACGGUGAGCACGUGAACGAGGCGCAGGUUGGCGACGAGGCCACGUUCGCUCUGAACCGACUGCCGGACGCGGUGACGGUCUCGCACAAGGGCAAAGUUCUCGUGCGCCAGCCGGAGACGGCGGUGUGGUCUUUCCAGGCUGCCGUCUCGGUGCUGUCGCAGUCGAUAAGCGCGCAUAUGGAGCCGAUCAUGUACACUCGCAAUGCGCGUCAGGCUGUGUGCGUGACUUCUGUGACGCCACCUGGCAGCGAGGAGGAGAGCGACGCCGCCGCAGCAGCCGGCCUUCGCGAGAGCAUCCUCGUACAGUGCCGUUUUCUCUUUCGUCCAGAGGUAGUCAGCGCCGGCGACGCGGUGGUGCUGCACUGGGCCCCGCGCGGCAUUGCCGUUGGCCGCAUCACGUCCAUGAACGCGCCGGCCAAGGUGUAGACAGAGAUAGAGGCUGAUGUAGAAAUUGGCGGCUAGACGGCAAAUACCCGGUGACUCUUCACGGAGAGGAGAAUGCGUGCGAGUAGGUGUGUGCGUGUGUGUGAUCGCAGGGGCGCGGGGUGCUUGUGCCGAGAUGCUGGAGAAGCGGCAGAGAGAGAGGCAGCUGGAGGGGUUAGUGGCGCAGCGCGCGUUGCACUAAAACUCCCCUCCUACAGCGAAAGUUGAGCAGAGUGGUGGCGUUUCGUACUGCAGGUGGAGAUACUGUGUGCGACUGCCUCAGCAAGGGCUGACACUGCCGCCUCUUCGCCCCCCCCCUCCCUCCCUCCCUUUGUUGCUCUUCUUUUCACCUCCUCAAUUCUCUUCUGCAUGCCUGCCGGCUCGCGCGCGUAUUCCCGCAGACCCGUUUUGCACGGAAAGAGACAUGACGAACGGCCAGCAGGCGUAACGGGCUGCAUCUAGUUUACAGUUGUGCCCCGCUUUGCUGUUCUUGUCGUUUGCACUCUUCUUCAGUCGGCCACCCAGCUCCUGAACCCUCCGCAGAUGCUCCUCUGCCUCUUCACCCUUUUUAUUCUGACAGUUACCCCCCUUUUCAUCUUCGUUUCUGUCUCUCCAGUUGCACCUUCCACUGUGGACCCUGCCGGCAGUGCUGCUGCCGCAGCGGGCGUCCUGGGAGAGGAAGGGUAUGCGCGUGGGCGAGGAAACGUGGGGGCGAGUUAGCGGUGACUGUGUAGAAGGGUGUGAUCUUCUCUGUGCGUGCUCUCUUUGUGCUUCCUUUUUGCUUUCCUCGUUUUUUUUUUCUAUGCCGUGUGUCUCUGCGUGCGCGAGCGUCGAAAGUGUGGUGGGAGCAUGCGAACCCAGUCGAGCGGGUGUGCUUCCGCCGGCUCCCGCGCACACCUACAUGAUGAAGUGUUGCUGCGCGUUCGGCCAUACAGGAACGCGCCGCGGCUGUCGUCCGACUUGCACCCACGCAUACACGAAAAGGAGAAAGCCAAUGAGGAGAUGGGAGGCUGGUACUCACCACCGCUGCUGUGAUUUAACUGAAUCUCCCUUCUGUCAUGCGCUGCCCUUCUCUCGUUCACCUUUGUUGUUUCACCAAG
This 3885-nucleotide unclassified non-coding RNA is filed under the name Leishmania donovani. RNAcentral describes it as "gene:LdHU3.34.3710(CDS-product:Elongation_factor_ Tu_GTP_binding_domain_containing_protein_putative)". The record is from RNAcentral. Lineage: Eukaryota; Euglenozoa; Kinetoplastea; Trypanosomatida; Trypanosomatidae.